RNAcentral lists this ribosomal RNA (494 nucleotides) under Vibrio pelagius. RNAcentral's name for it is "bacterial SSU rRNA". It matches the Rfam family "Bacterial small subunit ribosomal RNA", at positions 1 to 475 of the family's 1533-position model. Lineage: Bacteria; Pseudomonadati; Pseudomonadota; Gammaproteobacteria; Vibrionales; Vibrionaceae. The record is from RNAcentral.
CCUUUAGAGUUUUGGAUCCUGGCUCAGAUUGAACGCUGGCGGCAGGCCUAACACAUGCAAGUCGAGCGGAAACGAGUUAUCUGAACCUUCGGGGAACGAUAACGGCGUCGAGCGGCGGACGGGUGAGUAAUGCCUAGGAAAUUGCCUUGAUGUGGGGGAUAACCAUUGGAAACGAUGGCUAAUACCGCAUAAUGCCUACGGGCCAAAGAGGGGGACCUUCGGGCCUCUCGCGUCAAGAUAUGCCUAGGUGGGAUUAGCUAGUUGGUGAGGUAAUGGCUCACCAAGGCGACGAUCCCUAGCUGGUCUGAGAGGAUGAUCAGCCACACUGGAACUGAGACACGGUCCAGACUCCUACGGGAGGCAGCAGUGGGGAAUAUUGCACAAUGGGCGCAAGCCUGAUGCAGCCAUGCCGCGUGUAUGAAGAAGGCCUUCGGGUUGUAAAGUACUUUCAGCAGUGAGGAAGGGGGUGUCGUUAAUAGCGGCAUCUCUGACUA